Molecule: long non-coding RNA, 2325 nt
Filed under: Homo sapiens (human)
Lineage: Eukaryota; Metazoa; Chordata; Mammalia; Primates; Hominidae
Description: HSALNT0172252
Source: RNAcentral
ACUCUCUCUCUCUCUCCUGCUGCAUUGUGAAGAAACUGCUUGCUUCCCUCUCACCCUCUGCAGUUUCCUGAGGCCUCCCCAGCCAUGCGGAACGGCCAGAUGCAGUGCCUCAUGCCUGUAAUCCCAGCACUUUGGGAGGCUGAGGGAGGAUUGCUUGAGCCUGCUUCCAUAUCGUAAACUGCCUUGGAACCAAUUACCACUACCAGGGAGACAAACUAUUGCUUAGAGGAUGCUGACAGGAGCAGCAUGCCAAAAUUGGAAGAGUGUUGUCUCUCAGCUGGUGCCACGAAUAGGUCUUCAGCAGGCUGUUCCAUUCCACCAUUCUGUCUGGCCCACUGCUUCUUACAAGAUUAAGAUAGCAGAUCCCAUGGGUGUAGCUGUAGACCAAGACCUGGAAUUAACACAUCAGAAGAUUCUAUGAGGAAACCCAUUUAAAAAUAGGAUGCAUUUUUUUCUUUUCUGCACAGGGAGAAAGUUUAAGCUCUCCUCACUAUGAGUUUUCAAGUAUAAAAGACUUUUUCUUCCACGAUUUUGAGAACAACUGAGGACUCUUGUGACCAGGACAACAGGGAAGCUUGCAGCAAGAUAGCUCCAGGUUGGAUUCAUGCUUCGCACCCCAAGGGCUGCCAGCCAGAGAGGAGGAGAAGCAAUCACUCCUGCAGUUUCUGAACACUACACAGACGCCAGGUAGCUUCUUCAGGAGAACAGCCCUCUGAGGAGGCAGGAAGAGGAGGCUUAUCUUUCAGCAGCCGGAGCUGCUGAGAUCUCUGGGCAGAUUAAGCUCUCUCUAAUGGAUGGGCUCCAGCCUGGCACAUUCAGUGGAGAGGGAUCCACUCAUCCAUCAUCAACAUAAUAUGGUCCUCCCUGCACUUCACAGUGUCCUCUUGCUAUUGAAAAGGCUUUUUUGCCUUCUCAAGUUUCUUUGUCAACAGUCUACAGGAAGAAGCUCAGGCCGCCACCGGCAGAGGUGAAUGCAAGCUCACGUUUUAUUUCUGACUGCUUAAUCAUUGCCUCGAUCACUGCUCAAGCUCUGCCUUUGUUUCCAAAGGUUACCUGUGGGAAAACUUCUUUUUCUAUGCUGAAAUUAAUAGGGAGGCAAAGAUGAGUCCACUGAUAAGCAGAGCCUUAAAACUCACAUAGAGAAACAACUUUGCUGGAGUGUGUGUGAGUGAACCACUAAGGAAUCAGAUAGUGUGAUGGCAGUUAUCAUUGCAGGUUAAGACAUUUCUACAAAUAUUUCGACAUCUCCAUAUACUCACUCCUUUCCCCCCUGAGUGGAGAGACUCAGCUACCAAGAGAGGAAGCUCAAAAAAAACAGAAGCUUCAAACAAACAACCAACCAAAAAAAAAAAAAAACUGUGGGUUCAUCAGAGGUGGUAGGGAAGACAAAAACAUGGGAGGAGCAGCUGGGCACGGUGGCUCAAGCCUGUAAUCCCAGCACUUUGCGAGGCUGAGGUGGGUGGAUCACCUGAGGUCAGGAGUUCGAGACCAGCCUGGCCAACAUGGUGAAACCCCAUCUCUACUAAAAAUACAAAAAAUUAGCCGGGCGUUGUGGUACGCACCUGUAAUCCCAGCUACUCCGGAGGCUGAGGCAGCAGAAUCGCUUGAACCCAGGAGGCAGAGGUUGCAACGAGCCAAGAUCGCACCAUUGCACUCCAGCCUGGGCAACAAGAGCGAAACUCCAUCUAAAAAAAACAAACAAGCAAACAAACAAAAAACACGGGAGGAGCAAUAAAAAGGAAUCCAUGCUUUGAUUUUUUUUUUUAGUGAGAGGAAGGGAAGGCUGCUGCCUCUCACUUCUCCCUGUUUUGUUGUUCUUUUAAGUAGCAUGUGUCACUCUGGGGUCUUGCUCUGUCACCCAGGCUGGAGUGCAGUGACACAAUGCUGGCUCAACCUCCUGGGCUCAAGAGAUCCUUCCACCUCGGCCUCCUGAGUAGCUGGGAUCACACAGGCACUACCACUUCCUCCCACAUCCCAGCGAUGUGCACAUUAGGAGAACUGGUGUGUCUACAUGGUCCCAGUCGGAGCGAGCGUGGGUGUGGAACCUUCCACUGGCCACUCAGCGAAAGGCAGCUGAUUCAGCACCUGGAGAAGACCGGCAACAGGGCUGAGUUUCCUUGCACUGCAGAGGAGGGGAGAGGCAAGGAGUGGACAUGAGCACGGAGGAUCCAGGGCACUCCCUUGAUGGUGAUGCCCUCGAAGGGCUGCCCCGUGCCCAUUGUACAGAAUGUGGAUUCCACCCCACGCCAUGAGAGCUCUCGCGCAGGCCCAGACCACUUUAUAAGCCAUAUUUCCGAAUCAAGCCCAAGUUUUCCCUAUGGAUGA